This 253-nucleotide ribosomal RNA is filed under the name uncultured bacterium. RNAcentral describes it as "partial 16S ribosomal RNA". It matches the Rfam family "Bacterial small subunit ribosomal RNA", at positions 524 to 776 of the family's 1533-position model. The record is from RNAcentral.
UACAGGGGGGGCAAGCGCUGUUCGGAAUUACUGGGCGUAAAGGGCUCGUAGGCGGCCAACUAAGUCACACGUGAAAUCCCCAGGCUUAACCUGGGAACUGCGUGUGAUACUGGAUGGCUUGAAUUCGGGAGAGGGAUGCAGAAUUCCAGGUGUAGCGGUGAAAUGCGUAGAUAUCUGGAGGAAUACCGGUGGCGAAGGCAGCUCUCUGGGACGGUACUGACGCUGAGACGCGAAAGCGUGGGGAGCGAACAGG